This 484-nucleotide ribosomal RNA is filed under the name uncultured bacterium. Its description in RNAcentral is "partial 16S ribosomal RNA". It matches the Rfam family "Bacterial small subunit ribosomal RNA", at positions 29 to 507 of the family's 1533-position model. The record is from RNAcentral.
AUUGAACGCUGGCGGAAUGCUUUACACAUGCGAGUCGAGCGGCAGCGCGGCCUUCGGGCUGGCGGCGAGCGGCGAACGGGUGAGUAAUGCAUCGGAACAUGCCCAGUCGUGGGGGAUAACACUUCGAAAGAAGUGCUAAUACCGCAUACGUCCUGAGGGGGAAAGCGGGGGAUCGCAAGACCUCGCGCGAUUGGAGUGGCCGAUGUCAGAUUAGCUAGUUGGUGGGGUAAAGGCCUACCAAGGCGACGAUCUGUAGCUGGUCUGAGAGGAUGAUCAGCCACACUGGGACUGAGACACGGCCCAGACUCCUACGGGAGGCAGCAGUGGGGAAUUUUGGACAAUGGGGGCAACCCUGAUCCAGCCAUUCCGCGUGAGUGAAGAAGGCCUUCGGGUUGUAAAGCUCUUUCGGCAGGAACGAAACGGUGGGCUCUAACAUAGUCCGCUAAUGACGGUACCUGAAGAAGAGGCACCGGCUAACUACGUG